RNAcentral lists this microRNA precursor (145 nucleotides) under Vriesea carinata. RNAcentral's name for it is "miR10205 stem-loop (vca-MIR10205)". The record is from miRBase by way of RNAcentral. Lineage: Eukaryota; Viridiplantae; Streptophyta; Magnoliopsida; Poales; Bromeliaceae.
UUUAUUCUCCUGGAUAAUACAAUAAUUGCGCUUAGAGAAGUUGAUGGUGACAGAACUUACAUUGUACAUGUGACUAGUCAUUUGGCAAAUUUAUAUGACAUCAGUCACCCUAAGCGCAAUUAUUGUAUCAUUUAGGGGGGAUAAA